Brassica napus (rape) is the source of this 756-nucleotide long non-coding RNA. RefSeq lists it as uncharacterized. The record is from RefSeq and is a predicted model, not a curated record. Lineage: Eukaryota; Viridiplantae; Streptophyta; Magnoliopsida; Brassicales; Brassicaceae. The transcript is spliced from 2 exons.
AAUUUGUUUAUAGAUCUUGCAAUCACCACAUAACUUUUCUCCGUGUUUUAGUCUUACUCACACACGGUACCGCGAAUAACUUCUGAUAGGUUACGCAUCCUUCCAAUACUCCAACUCAAUCACAUUUUGACUCGGGAGUUUUAAAAGGAAAAAGUACGUUACAUAUUGAUUGAGAUUUGAAAGGUAAAAUCAGUUGGAUAGACGCAAUAUAACACUCAGUUGUCGUUUCUUUAUAAACACAUGACGGACACGACACGACACGACACGACUCUGUAACAGAAAUUUUAUAAGAUUAAUUUCAUAACAAAAAAAAACAAAAAAAGCUUCGAGUCUCUCUGACCAAAAGAGAGAUGAGUUUUGUUGUACGUCUUGCUGUGUUUCUUCUGUUGACGCUUACAGUUACAUCUUCAUCCCCUAGUUCCGUUUCUGUUCCAGUUGUUGGGAAGAUUGGAAUCGAAAGGAGGUCGUUGAUAGUCAACGUCAAGGAUUAUGAUGGUCCGUCUGCAAACCCAAAACACAAUCCAGGCACUCCUCCGGUUACUAUCAGCCAACGCAGCCCCGGCAGAGGGUGACCUACCACUUUAAUUAACCCACAAGGGAAGAAGAAAUGAAUCUCUCAGUUUUACAUGUUCAGUUUGUCCGAGAUGAAGAAAUGAAAAUUCUCUGUUUCUACUACACCUUUCUCCAAUAUGUAUAUUGAUAUCAAUAUGUGUCUUGUCAUUUCCACACAAUUUCUUAUAAAUAAAGUUUCUUGAA